RNAcentral lists this ribosomal RNA (435 nucleotides) under uncultured bacterium. RNAcentral describes it as "partial 16S ribosomal RNA". It matches the Rfam family "Bacterial small subunit ribosomal RNA", at positions 338 to 795 of the family's 1533-position model. The record is from RNAcentral.
CCUACGGGGGGCAGCAGUGGGGAAUAUUGGACAAUGGGCGCAAGCCUGAUCCAGCAAUGCCGCGUGUGUGAAGAAGGCCUGCGGGUUGUAAAGCACUUUAAGCAGGGAAGAAGGGGUGACAGUUAAUACCUUUCCUCAUUGACGUUACCUGCAGAAUAAGCACCGGCUAACUCCGUGCCAGCAGCCGCGGUAAUACGGAGGGUGCGGGCGUUAAUCGGAAUUACUGGGCGUAAGUGAAAGGCCGGCGGUUAACCUGGGAACGGCGGUGGAUACUGUCGGGGUAGAGUGUGGUAGAGGGGAGUGGAAUUUCCGGUGUAGCAGUGAAAUGCGUAGAGAUCGGAAGGAACACCAGUGGCGAAGGCGGCUCCCUGGACUAACACUGACGCUGAGGUGCGAAAGCGUGGGGAGCAAACAGGAUUAGAUACCCUAGUAGUC